ACCGGCGGCUCGAGUGGUGGCCACUAUUACUGGGCUUAAAGCGUUCGUAGCUGGCUUGUUAAGUCUCUGGGGAAAUCUUCCGGCUCAACCGGGAGGCGGCUCAGGGAUACUGGCAGGCUAGAGACUGGAAGAGGUGAGCGGAACUCCCGGGGGAGCGGUGAAAUGCGGAGAUCCCUGGGGGAACACCUGUGGCGAAGGCGUCUCACCAGGCCGGCUCUGACACUGAGGCACGAAAGCUAGGGGAGCAAACCG
Molecule: ribosomal RNA, 252 nt
Filed under: uncultured prokaryote
Description: partial 16S rRNA
Rfam family: Archaeal small subunit ribosomal RNA
Source: RNAcentral